GGGAAGCUGGCUCAGUGGUAGAGUGCUUGCUUCCCAUGCAUGAGGCCCUGGGUUCGAUUCCUCAGCACCACA
Molecule: transfer RNA, 72 nt
Filed under: Dipodomys ordii (Ord's kangaroo rat)
Lineage: Eukaryota; Metazoa; Chordata; Mammalia; Rodentia; Heteromyidae
Rfam family: tRNA
About the family: Transfer RNA (tRNA) molecules are approximately 80 nucleotides in length. Their secondary structure includes four short double-helical elements and three loops (D, anti-codon, and T loops). Further hydrogen bonds mediate the characteristic L-shaped molecular structure. tRNAs have two regions of fundamental functional importance: the anti-codon, which is responsible for specific mRNA codon recognition, and the 3' end, to which the tRNAs corresponding amino acid is attached (by aminoacyl-tRNA synthetases). tRNAs cope with the degeneracy of the genetic code in two manners: having more than one tRNA (with a specific anti-codon) for a particular amino acid; and 'wobble' base-pairing, i.e. permitting non-standard base-pairing at the 3rd anti-codon position.
Source: Rfam by way of RNAcentral